CAAGAUUCUCGGGGUAAGGUGAAAUUCCUGACCGGCGGUGAUGUUCAAAGCGAACUAAGCCCGCGACUUCUUUUCUCUUCAGAGAAAAGAACUGAUCUGGUGCCAUUCCAGAGCCGACGGUAAAGUCCGGAUGGGAGAGGAUCAUA
This 146-nucleotide non-coding RNA is filed under the name Paenibacillus riograndensis. Its description in RNAcentral is "FMN sequence". It matches the Rfam family "FMN riboswitch aptamer (RFN element)". Rfam says of the family: The RFN element is a highly conserved domain that is found frequently in the 5'-untranslated regions of prokaryotic mRNAs that encode for flavin mononucleotide (FMN) biosynthesis and transport proteins. This element is a metabolite-dependent riboswitch that directly binds FMN in the absence of proteins. In Bacillus subtilis, the riboswitch most likely controls gene expression by causing premature transcription termination within the 5' untranslated region of the ribDEAHT operon and precluding access to the ribosome-binding site of ypaA mRNA. Lineage: Bacteria; Bacillati; Bacillota; Bacilli; Caryophanales; Paenibacillaceae. The record is from RNAcentral.